This 497-nucleotide ribosomal RNA is filed under the name uncultured bacterium. RNAcentral describes it as "partial 16S ribosomal RNA". It matches the Rfam family "Bacterial small subunit ribosomal RNA", at positions 28 to 507 of the family's 1533-position model. The record is from RNAcentral.
GAUGAACGCUGGCGGCGUGCCUAAUACAUGCAAGUCGAGCGAACAGACGAGGAGCUUGCUCCUCUGACGUUAGCGGCGGACGGGUGAGUAACACGUGGAUAACCUACCUAUAAGACUGGGAUAACUUCGGGAAACCGGAGCUAAUACCGGAUAAUAUAUUGAACCGCAUGGUUCAAUAGUGAAAGACGGUUUUGCUGUCACUUAUAGAUGGAUCCGCGCCGCAUUAGCUAGUUGGUAAGGUAACGGCUUACCAAGGCAACGAUGCGUAGCCGACCUGAGAGGGUGAUCGGCCACAUUGGAACUGAGCCACGGUCCAGACGCCUACGAGAGGCAGCAGUAGGGAAUCUUCCGCAAUGGGCGAAAGCCUGACGGAGCAACGCCGCGUGAGUGAUGAAGGUCUUCGGAUCGUAAAACUCUGUUAUUAGGUAAGAACAAAUGUGUAAGUAACUAUGCACGGCUUGACGGUACCUAGUCAGAAAGCCACGGCUAACUACGUG